RNAcentral lists this long non-coding RNA (720 nucleotides) under Medicago truncatula (barrel medic). RNAcentral's name for it is "lncRNA gene39281". The record is from RNAcentral. Lineage: Eukaryota; Viridiplantae; Streptophyta; Magnoliopsida; Fabales; Fabaceae.
UAACAUAUAAGUGUAAUAAAGUGGUUGUUGAACAAAGCAUUUAUAGUGAAGUGUAAUGAAAAACAUAUAAGUGUGACAAUAUUAUGACUUAAAUAUAAAAUUAUACACGAAUAAGUAAAAUAAAACUAUUUUCUAACUUAACUAUUCAAGAUAUUUUGAAGACCACAAAUUGAAGGACAUAGAGAUUUAUCCAAAAUUAAAAGAGAAAAAUACAAUCUAAACAAUAUUCUUUGUUUACUUAUUUUAAUUUGUGACAAUCAUCUUGGAGUAUAUAGCCACAAGGAUAAGGUCGUGAAAAUGGAAUAAAAAUAAUAUAUUGUACCAAAAAUAAAAUCAAAUUAUUGGGUACCAACACAAUUACUUAACAUUUGCUCAUAAAAUUUUGCAACACAAUCUUAUGGUCACAUCUCUCAAAUGCACUCACAUACGCCUACCUUUCUUUCGAUGCUUAAUAUUUCAAAUGUCGAACAAAAUGACUUCUUAGGUGGAUAGCACAUAUCCUCUGGACAAUCAGAGUCGUAAAUACAUGUAGUAACGGCUGCGAUAAUAAAGUAAUAGAAGGAUGUUACUAAAAGGAAAUAAAAUAUUAUAUAUAAAUUAAUUAAGAAAAUUGAGAAUGAUAAAAAAAUGGAGUACUUUCAAUGUGCAUUGAAAAAACACAUAGGGAAAGAAAGAUAAUCAUAACACAAACAAACUUGACAAUAACAGUCAUAUUUUCUC